GACGAACGCUGGCGGCGUGCCUAAUACAUGCAAGUUGAGCGAUGAAGCCUGGUUCUUGCACCAAUUUCAAGAGCAGCGAACGGGUGAGUAACGCGUGGGGAAUCUGCCUUUGAGCGGGGGACAACAUUUGGAAACGAAUGCUAAUACCGCAUAACAACUUUAAACAUAAGUUUUAAGUUUGAAAGAUGCAAUUGCAUCACUCAAAGAUGAUCCCGCGUUGUAUUAGCUAGUUGGUGAGGUAAAGGCUCACCAAGGCGAUGAUACAUAGCCGACCUGAGAGGGUGGUCAGCCACAUUGGGACUGAGACACGGCACAAACUCCUACGGGAGGGAGCAGUAGGGAAUCUUCGGCAAUGGACGAAAGUCUGACCGAGCAACGCCGCGUGAGUGAAGAAGGUUUUCGGAUCGUAAAACUCUGUUGGUAGAGAAGAACGUGGGUGAGAGUGGAAAGCUCAUCAAGUGACGGUAACUACCCAGAAAGGAACGGCUAACUACGUG
Molecule: ribosomal RNA, 497 nt
Filed under: uncultured bacterium
Lineage: Bacteria
Description: partial 16S ribosomal RNA
Rfam family: Bacterial small subunit ribosomal RNA
Source: RNAcentral